Molecule: ribosomal RNA, 460 nt
Filed under: uncultured Treponema sp.
Lineage: Bacteria; Pseudomonadati; Spirochaetota; Spirochaetia; Treponematales; Treponemataceae
Description: partial 16S ribosomal RNA
Rfam family: Bacterial small subunit ribosomal RNA
Source: RNAcentral
ACGGGAGGCAGCAGCUAAGAAUAUUCCGCAAUGGACGGAAGUCUGACGGAGCGACGCCGCGUUGGGGAUGAAGGUCGGAAGAUUGUAAAAUCCUUUUAUAACUGAGGAAUAAGCAGUGUGAGAGGAACGCACUGUGGUGACUGUAGGUUAUGAAUAAGCAACGGCUAAUUACGUGCCAGCAGCCGCGGUAACACGUAAGUUGCGAGCGUUGUUCGGAAUUAUUGGGCGUAAAGGGCAUGUAGGCGGUUUUGCAAGCUUGGUGUGAAAUCUCGGAGCUCAACUCCGAAAUUGCGUUGAGAACUGCAUGACUGGAGUCACUGAGGGGCAAUCAGAAUUCCUGGUGUAGGGGUGAAAUCUGUAGAUAUCAGGAAGAAUACCAAUGGCGAAGGCAGGUUACCAGCAGAUGACUGACGCUGAGGUGCGAAGGCGCGGGGAGCAAACAGGAUUAGAUACCCUGGUA